Molecule: long non-coding RNA, 1019 nt
Organism: Notolabrus celidotus (New Zealand spotty)
Lineage: Eukaryota; Metazoa; Chordata; Actinopteri; Labriformes; Labridae
Exons: 2
Source: RefSeq, a predicted model, not a curated record
AAGGUGCAGGUCAGGUGCAGGUGAGAUCUUACCUGAGCCCACGAUCAGGGUCUUGGCCCCGCAGCAGGUGAAGCAGUGCAGCAGAGACUUGGACUUGAUGUUGGUGUUGAGGAAAGCCACCGAGCAGCCCACCUUGGCCAGCCCGAACCAUGCGCACAGAAAGUCUGGCUCGUUGCUCAUGAGCAGAGCGACACACUCUCCUCUCUGCAGCUUCAGCUCCUCCAGGAACACCUGCGCGAACCUGUUACUGCGCCGGUCGAUGUCCCGGUACGUGUGCUCGGUCCCCUCGUAGACCACGAACGGCUUGUCCGGGAUCCGAUGCGCCUGCUGGAUGAACCGGUCCAGCACCGUGAACACGCGGGAGGUCAGUUUGUAGGACUCGAUCUUCACUCCGUACCGGAUCACCUUCAGCAGGAAGAGCAGGUCCCUCCAGAAGUACGGGAAGCAGAGUCUCUGUAGGACGUGGGCCGAGAAAAACCCCGUGAACAGGGCGGAGAGCCAUCCCAGGGACAGCGUCAUGUCUGCGGCGAGGAGGAGCGGCACGGAUCAGUGCGGACACUGCGCCCUGUGUUACAUGUUCAGACCGGACUCGAUGACAGACCAUACCUGUGUUCUCCAAGCAUCCAGAAAAACCUGCUGCUCCUGCUCUCAGCUCCGAGGAGACGAUGAAGAGGAGGAUUACUUCAUCUCUGUGACACCUGAAAACACAGUUUUUACUUUAUUAGAAAGACAGAGAAGCUGAAAUCAUCCUUUAUUAACAGUUAAUUUCUCUUUAAGGAAUAAAGGUAUCCACUGCUCUUCAUAAAUCCCUCCUACAUGUAAACAUCACUCAGAAAACACAGGAUACUCUAUUCAGCCAUUCAUAUCAACCUUCAUCACACACCUGGAAGUUGCACCUUUUUGCUCGUGUAACUUGUGAUUUGAUUAUAUCCAUGCUUGAGUUCAUGAAUCAUCUGUGACUUGUGUGGAAGACAAAACCUGGAAACAGACCUUCAUUAAAGAGCGUGUAAAUCACCACA